GAUGAACGCUGGCGGCGUGCCUAAUACAUGCAAGUCGAGCGAACGGACGAGAAGCUUGCUUCUCUGAUGUUAGCGGCGGACGGGUGAGUAACACGUGGAUAACCUACCUAUAAGACUGGGAUAACUUCGGGAAACCGGAGCUAAUACCGGAUAAUAUUUUGAACCGCAUGGUUCAAAAGUGAAAGACGGUCUUGCUGUCACUUAUAGAUGGAUCCGCGCUGCAUUAGCUAGUUGGUAAGGUAACGGCUUACCAAGGCAACGAUGCAUAGCCGACCUGAGAGGGUGAUCGGCCACACUGGAACUGAGACACGGUCCAGACUCCUACGGGAGGCAGCAGUAGGGAAUCUUCCGCAAUGGGCGAAAGCCUGACGGAGCAACGCCGCGUGAGUGAUGAAGGUCUUCGGAUCGUAAAACUCUGUUAUUAGGGAAGUACAUAUGUGUAAGUAACUGUGCACAUCUUGACGGUACCUAAUCAGAAAGCCACGGCUAACUACGUGCCAGCAGCCGCGGUAAUACGUAGGUGGCAAGCGUUAUCCGGAAUUAUUGGGCGUAAAGCGCGCGUAGGCGGUUUUUUAGUCUGAUGUGAAAGCCCACGGCUCAACUGUGGAGGGUCAUUGGAAACUGGAAAACUUGAGUGCAGAAGAGGAAAGUGGAAUUCCAUGUGUAGCGGUGAAAUGCGCAGAGAUAUGGAGGAACACCAGUGGCGAAGGCGACUUUCUGGUCUGUAACUGACGCUGAUGUGCGAAAGCGUGGGGAUCAAACAGGAUUAGAUACCCUGGUAGUCCACGCCGUAAACGAUGAGUGCUAAGUGUUAGGGGGUUUCCGCCCCUUAGUGCUGCAGCUAACGCAUUAAGCACUCCGCCUGGGGAGUACGACCGCAAGGUUGAAACUCAAAGGAAUUGACGGGGACCCGCACAAGCGGUGGAGCAUGUGGUUUAAUUCGAAGCAACGCGAAGAACCUUACCAAAUCUUGACAUCCUUUGACAACUCUAGAGAUAGAGCCUUCCCCUUCGGGGGACAAAGUGACAGGUGGUGCAUGGUUGUCGUCAGCUCGUGUCGUGAGAUGUUGGGUUAAGUCCCGCAACGAGCGCAACCCUUAAGCUUAGUUGCCAUCAUUAAGUUGGGCACUCUAAGUUGACUGCCGGUGACAAACCGGAGGAAGGUGGGGAUGACGUCAAAUCAUCAUGCCCCUUAUGAUUUGGGCUACGCACGUGCUACAAUGGACAAUACAAAGGGCAGCGAAACCGCGAGGUCAAGCAAAUCCCAUAAAGUUGUUCUCAGUUCGGAUUGUAGUCUGCAACUCGACUACAUGAAGCUGGAAUCGCUAGUAAUCGUAGAUCAGCAUGCUACGGUGAAUACGUUCCCGGGUCU
This 1371-nucleotide ribosomal RNA is filed under the name uncultured bacterium. Its description in RNAcentral is "bacterial SSU rRNA". It matches the Rfam family "Bacterial small subunit ribosomal RNA", at positions 28 to 1381 of the family's 1533-position model. The record is from RNAcentral.